This is a non-coding RNA of Brachypodium distachyon (stiff brome), 125 nucleotides long. NCBI's taxonomy places the organism in Eukaryota, Viridiplantae, Streptophyta, Magnoliopsida, Poales, Poaceae. The record is from Rfam.
UUCAUACUUCUUCCGUUUCAUAAUUCUUGUCUCAAAUUUGAUCAAAAAUGGAUGUAUCUAUUCAUAAAACGUAUUUGGAUACAUGUAAUAUUUCGACAAGAAUUAUGAAACGGAAGGAGUACAAU